Molecule: non-coding RNA, 394 nt
Organism: Xyrichtys novacula (pearly razorfish)
Lineage: Eukaryota; Metazoa; Chordata; Actinopteri; Labriformes; Labridae
Source: the annotation of a GenBank genome assembly
UUUCCCAUAAUUCAAUGCGGCUCAGAAGUUAAAAGCUGAACCGGAAGCUCUCUUUCUCACAGUAUGAAUGAUCUGCGUGGGUGCUGUGUGAGAGUAUGGUGAAUGCUUGUUUGAGCGAAUGUGCGGUGUUUGAGUGUGAAUGUUUCUUUAAACCUACACAGUGAUCUUAUUUGAUCUGAUCUGAGUCUGGCUCUGCUCCGAUCAGAGGUGAUAAGAAAAUUGCUCUCGAGCCUCGGUGGCGGUGAGAAGCCGGCAGGAUGUUUACCUUCAGGGCCUCCACGCUUCGUGCUGUGGUCAGAGGUGAUGAAUUGAUCAGAUAUACUAGUUCUGGCUGAGCUUGGGUCAAUCUCAAGCUUCACAAUGGACUCUGAGUAUAGAGGCGAUUCUGAUCUUA